UACGUAGGGUGCGAGCGUUGUCCGGAAUUAUUGGGCGUAAAGGGCUCGUAGGCGGUUUGUCGCGUCGGGAGUGAAAACACCGGGCUUAACUCGGUGCUUGCUUUCGAUACGGGCAGACUAGAGGCAUGCAGGGGAGAACGGAAUUCCUGGUGUAGCGGUGAAAUGCGCAGAUAUCAGGAGGAACACCGGUGGCGAAGGCGGUUCUCUGGGCAUGUCCUGACGCUGAGGAGCGAAAGUGUGGGGAGCGAACAGGAUUAGAAACCCCCGUAGUCC
Molecule: ribosomal RNA, 273 nt
Filed under: uncultured bacterium
Lineage: Bacteria
Description: partial 16S ribosomal RNA
Rfam family: Bacterial small subunit ribosomal RNA
Source: RNAcentral